RNAcentral lists this ribosomal RNA (253 nucleotides) under uncultured bacterium. Its description in RNAcentral is "partial 16S ribosomal RNA". It matches the Rfam family "Bacterial small subunit ribosomal RNA", at positions 524 to 776 of the family's 1533-position model. The record is from RNAcentral.
UACGUAGGGUGCUAGCGUUGUUCGGAAUCAUUGGGCGUAAAGCGCGUGUAGGUGGUUAGUUAAGUCGGGUGUGAAAUCCCUAGGCUCAACCAAGGAAGUGCAUCCGAAACUAACUAGCUCGAGGACGGUAGAGGAAGGUGGAAUUCCUAGUGUAGAGGUGAAAUUCGUAGAUAUUAGGAGGAAUACCGGUGGCGAAGGCGGCCUUCUGGGCCGUUCCUGACACUGAGACGCGAAAGCGUGGGGAGCAAACAGG